UGACCAAGUCUGCCACAAAGCUCCUAGCCAGAGCCAACCACGGACAGACACCCCGACCAAAGACCGAGAGAACCGCCAUGAAGAAGACCCAACCGGCGUCAACGCGCCACUGCUCACCCGAGAGCCCACACCAAGCAAAACAAAAACGCCGGAACUCCAAGCACGAGACAGAAGGCCACAACCAUAGGAAAGACAGACACCGUCCUCACGCGCCUAAACUCGCCACCGGAGGCCACAGAUCUGAAACUUGAAAUUCUGGAUCUGAGCUUACGCAGAGCUCUCCCUGCCGCAGAGAUAAGAGAGCACAAAGAAGAUAAAGACAGAAGAAAACACACAGGAGAAAGGAGGGGAUCCGACGACCGCGAACGGCGGAGCGGCCGCCGGAAAAAGCAAGCAAAAUGGUGGUGAACUUUGGAGAAGAGAGUCGGGGGGAGGAAGGGGUGAGAGGAGAGAGAACCCGUCCUACAUGACCAAGUUGUUACGGACUUUAUGUCUUUCAAGUGACACUAACACAUUCAAAUAAGUUCUAUACAAAUAACUGAAUAAGUAAAGCUUUACAUGGUUAUAGCCCAUAUAAAAGAUUUGAGCGAAGCUGUAAAACUACAUGCAUGUCAUAACUAAACCAACUAUAUAAUAUCACUGAGUGCUAUCCAGAGUUAUAAUAC
This 665-nucleotide long non-coding RNA is filed under the name Brassica napus (rape). RNAcentral describes it as "long non-coding RNA (BNAP_LNC004952)". Lineage: Eukaryota; Viridiplantae; Streptophyta; Magnoliopsida; Brassicales; Brassicaceae. The record is from RNAcentral.